Non-coding RNA from Basidiobolus meristosporus CBS 931.73, 73 nucleotides. NCBI's taxonomy places the organism in Eukaryota, Fungi, Basidiobolomycota, Basidiobolomycetes, Basidiobolales, Basidiobolaceae. The record is from the annotation of a GenBank genome assembly.
GACCAAGAUAGCGUAGUGGAAUACGCGAUGAUUCAAUAAUCAGAGGUUGAUGGUUCGAAUCCAUUCCUGGUCU